UACAGAGGGUGCGAGCGUUGUCCGGAAUUACUGGGCGUAAAGGGCGCGUAGGCGGCUUGGUAAGUCGGGGGUGAAAGUCAGCGGCUCAACCGCUGGACUGCCUUCGAGACUGCCUGGCUUGAGCAUGGUAGAGGCUGGCGGAAUUCCCGGUGUAGCGGUGGAAUGCGUAGAGAUCGUAAGGAAGACCAGUGGCGAAGGCGGGUCUCUGGACAGUUCCUGACACUGAGGCACGAAGGCCAGGGGAGCAAACGGG
RNAcentral lists this ribosomal RNA (253 nucleotides) under uncultured bacterium. RNAcentral describes it as "partial 16S ribosomal RNA". It matches the Rfam family "Bacterial small subunit ribosomal RNA", at positions 524 to 776 of the family's 1533-position model. The record is from RNAcentral.